UGGGGAAUAUUGCACAAUGGAGGGAACUCUGAUGCAGCGACGCCGCGUGAACGAAGAAGGCUUUCGAGUCGUAAAGUUCUUUUAUAUGGGAAGAUAAUGACGUUACCAUAAGAAAAAGCCCCGGCUAACUACGUGCCAGCAGCCGCGGUAUUACGUAGGGGGCUAGCGUUGUCCGGAAUCACUGGGCGUAAAGGGUUCGCAGGCGGAAAUGCAAGUCAGGUGUAAAAGGCAGUAGCUUAACUACUGUAAGCAUUUGAAACUGCAUAUCUUGAGAAGAGUAGAGGUAAGUGGAAUUUUUAGUGUAGCGGUGAAAUGCGUAGAUAUUAAAAAGAAUACCGGUGGCGAAGGCGACUUACUGGGCUCAUUCUGACGCUGAGGAACGAAAGCGUGGGUAGCAAACAGG
RNAcentral lists this ribosomal RNA (403 nucleotides) under bacterium. RNAcentral's name for it is "partial 16S ribosomal RNA". It matches the Rfam family "Bacterial small subunit ribosomal RNA", at positions 355 to 776 of the family's 1533-position model. The record is from RNAcentral.